CGGGACGGGUGAGUAAUGCUUGGGAAGUCUGGCUUAUGGAGGGGGAUAACUACGGGAAACUGUAGCUAAUACCGCAUAAUAUCGAAAGAUUAAAGGGUGGGACUUUCGGGCCACCUGCCAUGAGAUGAGCCCAAGUGGGAUUAGGUAGUUGGUGAGGUAAAGGCUCACCAAGCCGACGAUCUCUAGCUGGUCUGAGAGGAUGACCAGCCACACUGGGACUGAGACACGGCCCAG
This 234-nucleotide ribosomal RNA is filed under the name uncultured bacterium. Its description in RNAcentral is "partial 16S ribosomal RNA". It matches the Rfam family "Bacterial small subunit ribosomal RNA", at positions 100 to 334 of the family's 1533-position model. The record is from RNAcentral.